RNAcentral lists this long non-coding RNA (1236 nucleotides) under Chloebia gouldiae (Gouldian finch). RNAcentral's name for it is "Erythrura gouldiae (Gouldian finch) lncRNA (ENSEGOG00005010889.1)". The record is from RNAcentral. Lineage: Eukaryota; Metazoa; Chordata; Aves; Passeriformes; Passeridae.
UUUCAGGGCAGUAUUUGGGGCAUUUUUUGGGUAAUUUCAGGGCGGUUUUUGGGGCAUUUUUUGGGUAAUUUCAGGGCAGUUUUGGGGCAUUUUUGGGGGCACUUCAGGGCGGUUUUUGGGGCACUUCAGGGCAGUUUUGGGGCAUUUUCUGGGUCACUCCAGGGCGGUUUUUGGGGCAUUUUUUGGGUCACUUUAGGGCGGUUUUUGGGUCACUUCAGGGCAGUUUUUGGAGCAUUUUUUGGGUCACUCCAGGAAGGUUUUUGGAGCAUUUUUUGGGCCAUUUCAGGGCGGUUUUUGGGGCAUUUUUUGGGUAAUCUCAGGGCAGUUUUGGGGCAUUUUUUGGGUCACUCCAGGGUGGUUUUGGGGCAUUUUUGGGCCAUUUUAGGGCGGUUUUUGGGUCACUCCAGGGCAGUUUUGGGGCAUUUUUUGGGCCAUUUCAGGGCGGUUUUCGGGGCGCUCCGGGGCAGUUUUGGGGCAUUUUUCGGGUCACUCCAGGGCGGUUUUUGGGUCAUUUUUUGGGUCACUCCAGGGCAGUUUUGGGGCAUUUUUUGGGCCAUUUCAGGGCAGUUUUGGGGCAUUUUUUGGGUCACUCCAGGGCGGUUUUGGGGCAUUUUUGGGCCAUUUCAGGGCGGUUUUGGGUCACUCCAGGGCGGUUUUGGGGCAUUUUUUGGGUCAUUUCAGGGUGGUUUUUGGGUCACUUCAGGGCGGUUUUUGGGUCACUCCAGGGCAGUUUUGGGGCAUUUUUUGGGUCACUCCAGGGCAGUUUUGGGGCAUUUUUUGGGCCAUUUCAGGGCGGUUUUUGGGUCACUCCAGGNNNNNNNNNNCUCCAGGGCAGUUUUGGGGCAUUUUUGGGCCAUUUCAGGGCGGUUUUUGGGUCACUUCAGGGCGGUUUUUGGGGCACUUCAGGGCGGUUUUUGGGGCAUUUUUUGGGCCAUUUCAGGGCGGUUUUCGGGGCGCUCCGGGGCGGUUUUUGGGGCAUUUUUGGGCCAUUUCAGGGCGGUUUUUGGGGCAUUUUUCGGGUCACUCCAGGGCAGUUUUGGGGCAUUUUUGGGCCAUUUCAGGGCAGUUUUAGGGGCAUUUUUUGGGCCACUUCAGGGCGGUUUUUGGGUCACUCCAGGGCAGUUUUGGGGCAUUUUUGGGCCAUUUCAGGGCGGUUUCCGGGGCGCUCCGGGGCUCCCUAGAAGAAGAGGCCGCGCAUGCGGCGCCCGAUGCCCUGGCGGUCGUAGAGGACGUUGA